UACGUAGGUGACAAGCGUUAUCCGGAAUUACUGGGCGUAAAGCGCACGUAGGCGGCGCAUUAAGUCUGAUGUGAAAUCUCCCGGCUUAACUGGGAGGGGUCAUUGGAAACUGAUGUGCUCGAGGCGGUGAGAGGGGUGUAGAAUUCCCGGUGUAGUGGUGGAAUGCGUAGAUAUUGGGAGGAACACCAGUGGCGAAGGCGGCUCACUGGACCGGUACUGACGCUGAUGCGCGAAAGCGUGGGGAGCAAACGGG
Molecule: ribosomal RNA, 253 nt
Filed under: uncultured bacterium
Lineage: Bacteria
Description: partial 16S ribosomal RNA
Rfam family: Bacterial small subunit ribosomal RNA
Source: RNAcentral